Molecule: ribosomal RNA, 301 nt
Filed under: uncultured bacterium
Lineage: Bacteria
Description: partial 16S ribosomal RNA
Rfam family: Bacterial small subunit ribosomal RNA
Source: RNAcentral
CAGCCGCCGCGGGAAUACGUAGGGUGCGAGCGUUAAUCGGAAUUACUGGGCGUAAAGCGCGCGUAGGCGGUUUUUUAAGUCUGAUGUGAAAGCCCACGGCUCAACCGUGGAGGGUCAUUGGAAACUGGAAAACUUGAGUGCAGAGGAGGAAAGUGGAAUUCCAUGUGUAGCGGUGAAAUGCGCAGAGAUAUGGAGGAACACCAGUGGCGAAGGCGACUUUCUGGUCUGUAACUGACGCUGAUGUGCGAAAGCGUGGGGAUCAAACAGGAUUAGAUACCCCUGUAGUCCCUGUCUCUUAUAA